Molecule: non-coding RNA, 144 nt
Filed under: Jiangella alkaliphila
Lineage: Bacteria; Bacillati; Actinomycetota; Actinomycetes; Jiangellales; Jiangellaceae
Description: FMN sequence
Rfam family: FMN riboswitch aptamer (RFN element)
About the family: The RFN element is a highly conserved domain that is found frequently in the 5'-untranslated regions of prokaryotic mRNAs that encode for flavin mononucleotide (FMN) biosynthesis and transport proteins. This element is a metabolite-dependent riboswitch that directly binds FMN in the absence of proteins. In Bacillus subtilis, the riboswitch most likely controls gene expression by causing premature transcription termination within the 5' untranslated region of the ribDEAHT operon and precluding access to the ribosome-binding site of ypaA mRNA.
Source: RNAcentral
AUGCGUGCUCCGGGGUCGGUGAAAGUCCGAACCGGCGGUGACAGUCCGCGACCCGGUCGGCGUCCGCAGCAGCGGGCGACGAACGGUUGACUCGGUGGAACUCCGAGACCGACGGUGAAAGUCCGGAUGGGAGGCAGCACGCGC